AGCAGCCGCGGUAAUUCCAGCUCCAAUAGCGUAUAUUAAAGUUGUUGCAGUUAAAAAAGACUCGUAGUUGAAUUUCGGAAUUUAUCGGUUGGUCGGGCUUCACUGUCCGCACUGGCCUGAUGGAUUCCUACCUUCUGAAUAACCAGCAUGCUAUUAAUUUAGUGCGUUGGGGAAGCAGAGCUGUUAACCUUGAAAAAAUUAGAGUGCUUAAAGCAGGCUUACGCUUGAAUAGAUUAGCAUGGAAUAAUAAAAUAGGACGGCUUGGUUCUAUUUUGUUGGUUUCUAGGAUCACCGUAAUGAUUAAUAGGGAUAGUUGGGGGCAUUAGUAUUCAAUUGUCAGAGGUGAAAUUCUUGGAUUUUAUUGAAGACUAACUUCUGCGAAAGCAUUUGCCAAGGAUGUUUUCAUUAAUCAAGAACGAAAGUUAGGGGAUCGAAGACGAUCAGAUACCGUCGUAGUCUUAACCAUAAACUAUGCCGACUAGGGAUCGGACGAUGUUAAUUUUUUUAAU
RNAcentral lists this small RNA (509 nucleotides) under uncultured Acaulospora. RNAcentral describes it as "SSU rRNA". It matches the Rfam family "Eukaryotic small subunit ribosomal RNA", at positions 569 to 1076 of the family's 1831-position model. The record is from RNAcentral. Lineage: Eukaryota; Fungi; Glomeromycota; Glomeromycetes; Diversisporales; Acaulosporaceae.